CUUGACGAUCAUAGAGGCGUUGAACCACCUGAUCCCAUCCCGAACUCAGAAGUGAAAAGCGCCAUCGCCGAUGGUAGUGUGGG
RNAcentral lists this ribosomal RNA (83 nucleotides) under Marinomonas vulgaris. The record is from RNAcentral. Lineage: Bacteria; Pseudomonadati; Pseudomonadota; Gammaproteobacteria; Oceanospirillales; Oceanospirillaceae.